Molecule: ribosomal RNA, 319 nt
Filed under: uncultured eukaryote
Lineage: Eukaryota
Description: partial 18S ribosomal RNA
Rfam family: Eukaryotic small subunit ribosomal RNA
Source: RNAcentral
CCCUUAGAUGUUCUGGGCAGCACGCGCGCUACAAUGAUCUUCGCAAACGGAUGCAUUCUCGAAGGAGGAUGCCAAUCUUGGAAUCUAUGCCUUGGUUGGGACAGUUGCUUGCAAUUUUUCGACUCGAACCAGGAAUUCCUUGUAAUCGUGAUUCAUCACAUCACGAUGAAUACGUCCCUGCCCUUUGUACACACCGCCCGUCGCUCCUACCGAUCGAAGAGUUAGGUGAAUUGUUUUGAUCGAUAAGAUUUGACUAUGGUCAACUCUCGUUGUGAAAUUCUGUGAAUCUGACUGUUUAGAGGAAGGAAAAGUCGUAACA